This 494-nucleotide ribosomal RNA is filed under the name uncultured bacterium. RNAcentral describes it as "bacterial SSU rRNA". It matches the Rfam family "Bacterial small subunit ribosomal RNA", at positions 28 to 524 of the family's 1533-position model. The record is from RNAcentral.
GAUGAACGCUGGCGGCGUGCCUAACACAUGCAAGUCGAGCGUGAACCCUGCGAAUGAAACUUCGGUCGAUUUUGCAGGGGGAAAGCGGCGGACGGGUGAGUAACGCGUAGGUAACCUGCCCCAUACUGAGGGAUAGCCUCGGGAAACCGGGAUUAAUACCUCAUAACACCGUAUAUUCGCAUGGAUGUGCGGUCAAAGAUUUAUCGGUAUGGGAUGGGCCUGCGUCUGAUUAGCUGGUUGGUGGGGUAACGGCCUACCAAGGCGACGAUCAGUAGCCGACCUGAGAGGGUGAUCGGCCACAUUGGAACUGAGACACGGUCCAAACUCCUACGGGAGGCAGCAGUGGGGAAUAUUGCACAAUGGGCGAAAGCCUGAUGCAGCAACGCCGCGUGAGCGAAGAAAGGCCUUCGGUUGUAAGCCUGUCUUAUGGGAGAAGUCAGUGACGGUACCAUAGGAGGAAGCACGGCUAACUACGUGCCAGCAGCCGCGGUAAG